GGCUCAGGACGAACGCUGGCGGCGUGCUUAACACAUGCAAGUCGAACGGAAAGGCCCUGCUUUUGUGGGGUGCUCGAGUGGCGAACGGGUGAGUAACACGUGAGUAACCUGCCCUUGACUUUGGGAUAACUUCAGGAAACUGGGGCUAAUACCGGAUAGGAGCUCCUGCUGCAUGGUGGGGGUUGGAAAGUUUCGGCGGUUGGGGAUGGACUCGCGGCUUAUCAGCUUGUUGGUGGGGUAGUGGCUUACCAAGGCUUUGACGGGUAGCCGGCCUGAGAGGGUGACCGGCCACAUUGGGACUGAGAUACGGCCCAGACUCCUACGGGAGGCAGCAGUGGGGAAUAUUGCACAAUGGGCGGAAGCCUGAUGCAGCAACGCCGCGUGCGGGAUGACGGCCUUCGGGUUGUAAACCGCUUUCGCCUGUGACGAAGCGUGAGUGACGGUAAUGGGUAAAGAAGCACCGGCUAACUACGUGCCAGCAGCCGCGGUGAUACGUAGGGUGCGAGCGUUGUCCGGAUUUAUUGGGCGUAAAGGGCUCGUAGGUGGUUGAUCGCGUCGGAAGUGUAAUCUUGGGGCUUAACCCUGAGCGUGCUUUCGAUACGGGUUGACUUGAGGAAGGUAGGGGAGAAUGGAAUUCCUGGUGGAGCGGUGGAAUGCGCAGAUAUCAGGAGGAACACCAGUGGCGAAGGCGGUUCUCUGGGCCUUUCCUGACGCUGAGGAGCGAAAGCGUGGGGAGCGAACAGGCUUAGAUACCCUGGUAGUCCACGCUGUAAACGGUGGGUACUAGGUGUGGGGUCCAUUCCACGGGUUCCGUGCCGUAGCUAACGCUUUAAGUACCCCGCCUGGGGAGUACGGCCGCAAGGCUAAAACUCAAAGGAAUUGACGGGGCCCCGCACAAGCGGCGGAGCAUGCGGAUUAAUUCGAUGCAACGCGUAGAACCUUACCUGGGUUUGACAUGGAUCGGGAGUGCUCAGAGAUGGGUGUGCUCUUUUGGGGUCGGUUCACAGGUGGUGCAUGGCUGUCGUCAGCUCGUGUCGUGAGAUGUUGGGUUAAGUCCCGCAACGAGCGCAACCCUUGUUCACUGUUGCCAGCACGUUAUGGUGGGGACUCAGUGGAGACCGCCGGGGUCAACUCGGAGGAAGGUGGGGAUGACGUCAAGUCAUCAUGCCCCUUAUGUCCAGGGCUUCACGCAUGCUACAAUGGCUGGUACAGAGAGUGGCGAGCCUGUGAGGGUGAGCGAAUCUCGGAAAGCCGGUCUCAGUUCGGAUUGGGGUCUGCAACUCGACCUCAUGAAGUCGGAGUCGCUAGUAAUCGCAGAUCAGCAACGCUGCGGUGAAUACGUUCCCGGGGCUUGUACACACCGCCCGUCAAGUCAUGAAAGUUGGUAACACCCGAAGCCGGUGGCCUAACCGUUGUGGGGGAGCCGUCGAAGGUGGGACUGGUGAUUAGGACUAAGUCGUAACAA
This 1465-nucleotide ribosomal RNA is filed under the name uncultured bacterium. RNAcentral describes it as "bacterial SSU rRNA". It matches the Rfam family "Bacterial small subunit ribosomal RNA". The record is from RNAcentral.